Molecule: transfer RNA, 71 nt
Filed under: Artemisia fukudo
Lineage: Eukaryota; Viridiplantae; Streptophyta; Magnoliopsida; Asterales; Asteraceae
Description: tRNA-Gln
Rfam family: tRNA
About the family: Transfer RNA (tRNA) molecules are approximately 80 nucleotides in length. Their secondary structure includes four short double-helical elements and three loops (D, anti-codon, and T loops).
Source: RNAcentral
UGGGGCGUAGCCAAGCGGUAAGGCAACGGGUUUUGGUCCCGCUAUUCGGAGGUUCGAAUCCUUCCGUCCCA